RNAcentral lists this ribosomal RNA (450 nucleotides) under uncultured bacterium. RNAcentral's name for it is "partial 16S ribosomal RNA". It matches the Rfam family "Bacterial small subunit ribosomal RNA", at positions 354 to 796 of the family's 1533-position model. The record is from RNAcentral.
GUGGGGAAUAUUGGACAAUGGGCGCAAGCCUGAUCCAGCCAUGCCGCGUGUGUGAAGAAGGCCUUCGGGUUGUAAAGCACUUUUGUUGGGAAAGAAAUCCUGUCGGCUAAUACCCGGCGGGGAUGACGGUACCCAAAGAAUAAGCACCGGCUAACUUCGUGCCAGCAGCCGCGGUAAUACGAAGGGUGCAAGCGUUACUCGGAAUUACUGGGCGUAAAGCGUGCGUAGGUGGUUCGUUAAGUCAGAUGUGAAAGCCCCGGGCUCAACCUGGGAAUUGCAUUUGAUACUGGCGGACUAGAGUGCGGUAGAGGAGAGUGGAAUUCCCGGUGUAGCAGUGAAAUGCGUAGAGAUCGGGAGGAACAUCAGUUGCGAAGGCGGCUCUCUGGACCAGCACUGACACUGAGGCACGAAAGCGUGGGGAGCAAACAGGAUUAGAAACCCCGGUAGUCC